GAUGAACGCUAGCUACAGGCUUAACACAUGCAAGUCGAGGGGCAGCGGUAUCGAAAGCUUGCUUUCGGUAGCCGGCGACCGGCGCACGGGUGAGUAACGCGUAUCGAACCUGCCUCAUACUCGGGAAUAGCCUUGCGAAAGUAAGAUUAAUGCCCGGUGUUUUCAGAGUCCCGCAUGAGGCUUUGAACAAAGAUUUAUCGGUAUGAGAUGGCGAUGCGUCCCAUUAGCUUGUUGGCGGGGUAACGGCCCACCAAGGCAUCGAUGGGUAGGGGUUCUGAGAGGAAGGUCCCCCACAUUGGAACUGAGACACGGUCCAAACUCCUACGGGAGGCAGCAGUGAGGAAUAUUUGUCAAUGGGCGGAAGCCUGAACCAGCCAAGUAGCGUGCAGGAAGACGGCCCUCCGGGUUGUAAACUGCUUUUAGUUGGGAAUAAAACGGGGCUCGUGAGCCCCCUUGCAUGUACCAUCAGAAAAAGGACCGGCUAAUUCCGUG
This 492-nucleotide ribosomal RNA is filed under the name uncultured bacterium. Its description in RNAcentral is "partial 16S ribosomal RNA". It matches the Rfam family "Bacterial small subunit ribosomal RNA", at positions 28 to 507 of the family's 1533-position model. The record is from RNAcentral.